GUCAACUAACCCUCGACUGAAGUCGAAGGCAUGAGGAGCGAUCCUUAAGGCCUGGUUGAUUAGCCUCAGUGCUUCGGCACUACGUUGUUUUUGUCAUAACACCCACGGACGUCCAUCCUAAUCCGUGGCACUGUUGCCUGUGAUUAAAAGUUCUCUUGGGUUAAUGGGAACGGUGUUUCAGGCGUAAAAAGCAAUUACAACAUUGGCGAAGGAUGCCAAC
Molecule: non-coding RNA, 220 nt
Organism: Youngiibacter fragilis 232.1
Lineage: Bacteria; Bacillati; Bacillota; Clostridia; Eubacteriales; Clostridiaceae
Source: Rfam